AAAUGCUUCGCCUACGCUGUAAAGGGAAAUAAUGACAGGGAGUCCUUGGAGAGCAAUUUGUGUGCUAUACCGUUACAUGUAUCAUUGGACCACUCUAAAUGUGGAAACUGGUGUGAUUUUGUACAACAACCAUCAUACAAACCAAGAAACCUGCCUUAUGGGAAAUAUUUAACUGGAGAAGAUCUAAUAAAGGACCUCCAACAUAUUUUUGAUGCUUUCAGCAAGAAUGCUGAAAAAUUACUGAAUAUAGGCAGCACUGAAGGAAAUGAGAGUUUCAACAACAUUGUUUCCUCCAAAAACCCAAAGAACCGCUUUUAUGGUGGUUCAGAGUCCACUGCCUUCAGGGUUGCAGCAGCUGUUGCACAGAAGGAUAUUGGCAAUGAUGCUAUUUCCAAGGUUUAUGAUACUUUAUUACUGUCACCAGGAAAGAAUACAGAAUUGUUUCUUACUCGGACAUCAAAGAAAAGGUAGUACAACAAGAAUAGAAAGGCCAGCACAGCAUACAAAAAACGACGCUAUGAACUGAAGUCAUCAAUGGCUA
Molecule: long non-coding RNA, 541 nt
Organism: Saccostrea cuccullata (small rock oyster)
Lineage: Eukaryota; Metazoa; Mollusca; Bivalvia; Ostreida; Ostreidae
Exons: 3
Source: RefSeq, a predicted model, not a curated record